Molecule: ribosomal RNA, 497 nt
Filed under: uncultured bacterium
Lineage: Bacteria
Description: partial 16S ribosomal RNA
Rfam family: Bacterial small subunit ribosomal RNA
Source: RNAcentral
GAUGAACGCUGGCGGCGUGCCUAAUACAUGCAAGUCGAGCGAACAGACGAGGAGCUUGCUCCUCUGACGUUAGCGGCGGACGGGUGAGUAACACGUGGAUAACCUACCUAUAAGACUGGGAUAACUUCGGGAAACCGGAGCUAAUACCGGAUAAUAUAUUGAACCGCAUGGUUCAAUAGUGAAAGACGGUUUUGCUGUCACUUAUAGAUGGAUCCGCGCCGCAUUAGCUAGUUGGUAAGGUAACGGCUUACCAAGGCAACGAUGCGUAGCCGACCUGAGAGGGUGAUCGGCCACACUGGAACUAAGACACGGUCCAGACUCCUACGGGAGGCAGCAGUAGGGAAUCUUCCGCAAUGGGCGAAAGCCUGACGGAGCAACGCCGCGUGAGUGAUGAAGGUCUUCGGAUCGUAAAACUCUGUUAUUAGGGAAGAACAAAUGUGUAAGUAACUAUGCACGUCUUGACGGUAACUAAUCAGAAAGCCACGGCUAACUACGUG